Molecule: non-coding RNA, 6741 nt
Organism: Taeniopygia guttata (zebra finch)
Lineage: Eukaryota; Metazoa; Chordata; Aves; Passeriformes; Estrildidae
Source: RefSeq, a predicted model, not a curated record
UCUGGGGAUAGCGUGCUGUGGGCAGGGGUGGGGUGUCCUUGCAGGUGCCACCAUGCCGUGCCAGUGUCACCAGGCAAUGGCAAAGGCUCCCUGGGAGCAGCUGGGCUGUUGGCAGCAGGGCAAUGCCAUGGCACAGAGCGCAGGGAGGUCACCACGCUGCUCAGCUCACCCCUGCUGCGGGCACUGACCCUAAAAUAAACCCCCUUCUGUGCCCAGACCCCCAGAAAGGGCGGCUGUCACCCCUUGGGGACCCUCAGGGGCCCUGCAGCCAGGAGGGCUCUCAGACCUGGCAGGAGCCGGGGCUCUGCUGGCCGGGGGCAGAGAGCAAGGCUUGGCAAAGCUGCUCUUUGCUGUUGCACACUCAGGGCUGGUGCAGGAGAAGGGAAGUGAAAAUGCCUGGGGCUGACCUCGGGCUUUCCUCACACACGCAAGGAGGCACCCAGAGCUUCCAUGGGGGCAGGAGGCCAAAGCCCAGCCCUGCUCCCUCCCCAGGAACAGCAGGAAGGAGGAAAAGGAAGAAGCUCAGAGGGAAACCCUUGAUUAGUGCAGAGGGAGAUCCCCCCACGGCUCCAGGACCUGUCCUGAGCUGGUUUUGGAGCAGGGGCGAUGCUGGUGGCGGUUCCAUAGAUACCGAUGCCAUGACAACCCUGACAUCAUCCCUGCUCCGGACGGGAGCUGCAGGGAAAGGCGCAGGGAGGAGGAGGAGCACGGGGCUGUGGGGCUGGGGGCUGCCCCACUGCAGCCCCAUUGCCCUGGCAGGGACCGUGUCACUGUCACACUGCGGGUUACCUGCGGGACAGGUUGCAAUCAGGAUUUAACUGUUGAAGCUCAUAAUGGUGCCACGCAGCUUUUCUCAAUGACAGGCAAAACCGAAAUGGCCACGGAGAGAAUGGCAGGUUGGUCCCUCCUGCUUUCUGCUGGCAGGGUGGCUCGUGGAGCUGGCCAGGGAAGGGACCUCAGUGCCAAGAGCAUCACUGCCAGCUCAUCCCUGAAUUGCAGGUCAGGAACAAAGACCAAAUUAACUGGAAGGGAUUACCCGAGGUGGGAUUUUCAAUCAGCUCCAUCAGUUUAGAAGCAGCUGUUUCAGCAUCCUCAAAAAUCCAAAUCAGGCUUUGGGCACAAACCAUCCCAAACCCAUCAGCCCAGAGUGAUGGCAUGGGCUGCCCUGCUCCUCCAGGGUGCCAGUGCCAGGGAGGCAGCGUCUUCCAGGGAUGCUGCACAGGGAAUCAAGGGGACCUGUGGGUUCUGCUCCUGGUUUUCUGAUGAUAUUGGGGAAACCACUUUUUUCUCCCUCUUCCUUACAUGUCUUGCCCAGCUGAUCUGUCCCAGCUGGAAUUUCUGGACAAUGCAAAGCACAAGGGAGCAGGACACUGCCUGAAUCUUUGAGAUGUUGCCCUAGAACAAAUCAUGACCAUUUCCAGACAGGUGUGGGGUUUAUACCCUUCAAGGCAUGACCAUGGCGCACUGAAAUUUCUGCUCCUAAACUUGUCCUUUCUUUGGGGUUCAUCCCCCGACUUCUGCUGUGUGCAGUGUUUAUACAAUCAUUUCCCACAACGUGGGGUGCCAGUUUUCUCCCCCUGCACCAGCUCAGAUAAAGCACAGGAGGUAUCUCCAGCCCACAUACAAACUGUCUUUCUGUCUCGCUUCCUAUUGCUGCAAAUCAACAGAUACACAGAGGCGGCCAAUAAUGGGGAAGGAUAUUGCACUUUCCACAUUUCCCCCAUCAAAUGGAGAACAGCAGCGUUUGCAAAUGGCACUUCUCAGAGCAUUUGUUCGGUUUGAACAAGUUUUGUCUCUAUUUACCAUUCUCACUGGAUUUCAGGGACAGGGGACCAGGACAGGGAACAAGGACAGGAAGCAAAUAGAGCAGCACACAGACAAAUGCCUGAGAGCUGCCCUUUUUUUUAUUUCACAGGAGUUUGAUUAAAGGUAGUGGAAAACAUAUAUUUGCUUUUUGCUUCUUCUGGUCAUGCCAACUUCUUACCUUUGUCUCUAUGACAAAAAAACCCAUCAGGGCUAAAUAUGUGGACAUGAUAGCUUGGAGGAGAUAAGAUGUGCAGCUUUCUCCUUCAAAACCGGUUCCAGUCAGCCUGACCCACUCAGCCAAGGGCUGACCCUUCAGGUUGUCCUUCACGUUCCCCGGGCAGCAGGCUGCAAGCAGCACUUUGAGAGACGUUUAGUUGUUGCUCUGAAAUGCUUUGCUUGCCCUUCAUUAGAGCUGGACUGAUGCUGCUUUCGGCCAUCAAAUGAGAAAAUGAAAAUGAGAGUUGAUGGGAAUAUUGAGAAGAGCUUAGAAGUCCAUAGGGAGCUGGGCAGAGAAUGAGCAGUACCUUAGCCCACUGUCACGAGAAAGCUCUUCAUGCUUUUUACCCUAAGAGAUCCAAAAAUAUCUGGAAGAUCACUUAUUAGCUGGUUACUCAUCUGCUUGUGAAACGUUUCUCAGGUGGGAUUUAGCACUUACUGUACACGGAUAAACCAGGAUAAGUGUGCCAGAAAAAACUGUGGAAAGUUUUUCUAACAGAAAUCAGUGAGAGAAGACUGGGAUAACAGAGCUCAGUGAGUUGAGGUAGUUUUGAAAAGGGGAGUUGUGUAAAACCCAAACUGAACCAAACCCCAAAGGGUUUCAAAACACCUCUCAGCGGUGCAGCCGUGGCCUCAACGCCUCAGGAGGGAACUCAGCAUCUGCUCCUCCAGAUAUCUCACUGCAUCAAAAUUUUGGGGCUUUUGGCAAACCAGGAUCUAAUCUGAUUCAGCCACUGCUCCCCACCUUGGGAGGAGCUUGAAAAGGGGGAACAAAGUGUUUGCUGUUCCCCAAACUGGUCUGCUUAGGAGCACACCAGCAGGUCCCAGCGUGCUGGGGACAUGCCACCAACAGCUGACCGUGGUGCCUGUCACCUGCAGCUGACAGGUACAAGGACAUGGGGCAGCUCAAGCCAUACUGGACAUGAAGAUCAUCCACAGGUACAUCCAGCUUUGCUGCCAAAAAUACACUGAAAAUAAGAAAAGCUUUGUUUCUUAACUGAACACAACCCCAGCAGGUCCUCACAUUCACCAGCAGGAUGCAACCUGAUGGAAAAGAGAUUUGUGGGAUGGAUGGAGAUGAGGGAUUUUAUAAGUGUGAACACUCUCAGGCCCAGGCUUGUGCAGCACAAGCCCAUUAAAACAGCCCCCCUGAAGGAGAUUUGCAUCUAAACAGGAAAUACAGGGGAAGACUGCCCUAACAGCUAUUUUACCUCCCUUGUGCAGAAGUGAAAAUGUGGCCGCAGAAGAUGAAGUUACUUACUUGGUGUCUAGCAAGAAGAUUAUGACUAAAAAAGAACUAAAUUUUGAUCUCUAGAGCCUCCAGCCACGUGCUCUGGCCAUGAAGGCAUUGUAUUUUUUUAUUUUUUUUUCAUGCACAUCUGGAUGGAAAAAGCAGGGAAAGCUCAGUUUUGUCUGACCAUCCUCAGAAUUCACAGGGCAAGUCUCCAUCCAGCAGUGGGACUUGAGCUUAGAAGAACACUAAAGCAUGGAAGGUUUUAGGGGCUGCAUGAAACACCUGGUGGGACAGACAUUAAAUUAACUCCACUGUUUCCUUUCUCACAGAUCUGCUAACCCAAAGCAAAUCUCCCAUGAAACUGUGGGAUUUCUUCCCACCUUUUCCCAGCAGAGCAAAGCAGGUGACAACAAUGCCAAAGAAGUUGGAUCCCCUCUCUGGCUGUUCUCACUGUUGUGUGUUGUUCCCUGUACCCACCUCUGGUCCGUGCAGGAGGCCUGUCACUCUUACAAAAUUAUCCAGUGAGGUAAAUUCACCCUUUCUUAUCUGUUAAUGACCAAAAAAAGCCAGAACAUCUCCAUAUAUCACCAGCUAUGGGCUGAAGAUCAGGUAGGAAAUGUGCUGGAAACAGCAUCCAGGACUUUAUUCUGCUUCCAAGUGCAGAUUUUAGCUGCAGGCAGAGGAGUAACACAUCCCUCGUUGUGGUAAUUACACCAGAGGCUUGCACACUCGUUUGAAAAGUAACAGAAGGCACCAAAAUCUCCUCCCAAAGCCCCAGGAAAGGGACUAGGAUGAGGUAGAACAUUUGGUGUCUGGAGCAGUCUUGUUCCAGAGAAGGGUAAGAGGUGCAAAAGUCAAGGAAGCACAAGUAUAUACAUGGCAAUCCAUCCUCUGUUGCCCUCUGCUGUUGGCUUGGUCGGAUGUGAAGGGGUUUGGUGUUCACCAACACUUCCCUGUGGGACUGAUCCAGAGCAGUGCCCCAGCUGGUGCCAAGGCUGACCCUCACCCCUUGGAUUAAAUUUAACUGAUUUGUCUCUGUGCCAUUACCUGUGGUUUGCUUUUUAUGUGUUAUUACUUUCCUUAUUACCCUACAAAAUCAAGAGUUGACUUCACAUCACCUUGUUGGCUGUGCUUAAUCCUGACUUCAAAUAAUAUUGGAUAGCUGCUCUCCAUCCUUCAGACAAAAAGCCUGAGCAGUCAUUCCAGGAAUGGAAUAAAACCCCAACAAAAUCAGUGCUUAGAAGGAGAGGAAAGAAAAAAACAAACAAAAAAAGCCAAACCCUUCCCUCUCCAAGCCUGUAAAACUCCAAGAGGAAGAGUCUCCCACACUGCCUGGAACAGACUGAAGCAGAAGACAGGAGAAAACAAAGCAGCUCUUGGGAAUCCUACUGUAAACAGGAGCCUGAAUACACCCAACACCCUGCAAAGGAACAGCUAAUCCCUGGAAAAAUGUCAAAGGCACAGUGCUGCUUCUGCCAGCAUCUGCAAGUCUGCCUGCCAUCCAUGGAACAGAUGAUUCCCCCAGGGCUCCCUGCUCUUUGCUUUUGGGGAGGGAAGAAAAAUUUUGAAAAAAGAAGGAAAAAAAAAAGUGAAGCAUGGUUUGGAUGCAAACCAGCCCAUGAAAACAGCGAGGAAUUUGGGAAGCUGCAAGGUUGGUCAGGUUCCUGUCACACAGCAGCAGCUCUUGAGAAAGGUCCCACAAGCUCCUCAAGCAGCACCUGCUCCUGACUCUGCUCUUCCUCUCCUCAUUCCAGAAAAUGGGAUUGCAAACCCUACUCCCAACUCUAAUGCUGCCCCUCACGCUGAAAGUCAAGAAAAUCACUGGGAUCCCAUAAAAAUUCCCACUGUUCCCCAUAUAAAAGCAAAUUCCGACUCGACAGAACCUGCUGGAAAAAUUCCUGCAUUGUUGUAGGGCCAACAGAGAACUGCAUCAAUCCAAGAGCACAAGAGGAAAGGACCAGGAGCAGCCCCACCUUGUCUGAUCAAUGCACACAGAAUCACACAAUUUCCCUGAGCCACCAGACUAUAAUAUACACAUACAUAAUUAUAUUUAUAUAUAUAUAUAUAUAUAUAUAUAUAUCUUGUUUUGUAUAUAUAACAGUAAUAUCUUGGCAUGCAGAGGUUAGACCCACCAGCAUAGCAUGAUCCCUUUUCCCAAGAUCCCACCCCUAAGAUCCCAGCAGGAGUGGAUCAGGAGUAAACUCAGUUGCUUUAUUGUUUUUACAUCAACAGGAAAUAUAAUUUGAAUACAGAGAUUUUUAAAACUAGAUUGAAUCAAGUGCAGUUAAUAGAGAAUUCACAAUUUCCUGUACACAAGCAUGAAGACCUCCAGUGGAAAUCCCUUACCCGAGACUAAAACUUGUGGUACAAAUGAACAGCAGAACAAAUCCCCCCAAUCGUCACAUGGUCAAGCCCACAGAGGUGAGGAUGAGAACUACACCAGAGCUCUUCUGCCAAGCCAAAAACAUGAGAGAACAAAGUGCAAGCAUUUUAUCAAAUGGCCCCAUGGUAAAGAUAGAAACUGGCCUAAAAGCAUCCUGACCACAGCUGGUGGCCUCAUUUUCAGGCAGGAUUUGCUAAAGACAGAGACUCGGCUUGAAGGUUCUUCCCCAGCCCUGCCAGGACAGGCUUUUCCUGACAGAAUGUGAUGGAUACAGCCUCAUGUCCCCCUGUGCAGCCAGGGAGGGGACAGCUGUGCUGGGAGGCUCCGAUGUCCCCGCUGCUCCCCGAGCCUGGCCAGCACACCCCAGCACUGGCACAGGGCAGUGCAAGCCCCCAGCCUGCUCCCCUGGUACACAAAGGUGACAAAGGAUGGGACAGAUGUUUCACCAACCUGCUCGUUUACACUGCAACAAAUGAGGGAGAAAUAUCAUUUGCUCCGUGGGCGAGGAAAUUGUCACAGAGAACAGCGGAAGAACACAAAAUUCCUGCUUUAGCACAACCAAAGCCAGAGGGAGACGCCUGCCCACACCCCCAGCUGCUAAAAGCAGCUCCUGGCAGAACUGAGUCAGCAGGGUCCUGCCUGCAAAAAGGGAGGGCUGCAGCCCUUUUGUUGGUCCUCUCCUCUCUAGGGGAUCCCAAUGGGCUUUGUUUUGGGGGCUGAGGUUAUUACCAAAAGACAAAACCCAAGAGCUGGGAUUUAUUUGUUCUAAGAACCUCAACAUGCUGAUAGGGAAAUUUUCUGAGCACUUUUAGUAGCCUGAACGACACCUUCAAUCACACUCUUCACACAGUACCUGGUUAAUGGUUCAUUUGGGUUUGUGUUUAGAAAUGUAACGAUGUAAAAAGUUCAGAAAUCAUUAGUCCAUAAAAGUCUCGUAUUCAUUUAACAGACCCGACUUGAAAGGACUUGAGUGUGCCCCAAAAUGUUAAAAUGUGUUUCCAAAGGUGUUGCUGGUUUUCUAACCACUAAGGAGUCCCACACAGUGCUGUGGGGACCAAAGGCUCAGAUAAGAGGUGCCGCUGCUCUAAUUACAGCAGUACCA